GGAUUUGGUAGGGUCUACUGGGGAUGCCUACAAAAGCAGCUAAUCAGUGUCAGGUAUUUUGAAAGUCGUUAAGUUUGCAUCAUAGAAGAUGAUUAUUUAUUAAAUGUUCAUGCAGAAAGCAACAAGUUCCAAAGGAAACUUGCCGAGGCGAUUGGCUCUGGGGCAGAUGCGUUCUGCAGUGGAGCGGCGGGAUCAGGACAGGCAGGGCUUUUUUUCCAGCAUUGAGGCCACUGGAGGGAGCUGCCAGGACCCGGCAGCCCUCGCGAGGGAGGCUGACGAGGCGUAGGCGGAGCCAGCAGCGCCCCCUCCCGGGCCGUUCAAAAGCAGCCCCUAGGGAGCACGACCAAUCAGUCGCACGGCAAUUCGCGCAGGCAGGGCGAGCUGGGAGGGCAGAGCGUUCCCUCCCGCCCAUACGAACAACUCCUCUAACGGCUGUCCACCGCCAGGAUAUCAGGUACCCUCCUGUUAGUAAAGAAAACAGACUAGUUUGAACCAUUCAUCUUCAUUUGAAAGGUAAAGACUGUUAAAAGUCCUUAAAGCAAUUUACUGGAAAGAUGGAGGAAGGUAUUUCUCUCAGAAAAUCAGGAAUUCAUAAUAACAGGAAGGGUUAAUUUCACGGGGACAUUGCAGUGACAUUGACAUUUUAGUUUAUGUUUGUCAUCAUUCUGGCAAUUGAAGAAAUGCCUUCAUUUAAAAAAGAAAAAAAAAAAAAGAAAAAAAAUGAAAAAAAAAGAGAAAAGGAAAAAAAGAGGAGAGGAGAGGAGAGGAGAGGAAAGGAGAGGAGAGGAG
RNAcentral lists this long non-coding RNA (789 nucleotides) under Anser cygnoides (Swan goose). RNAcentral describes it as "lncRNA (ENSACDG00005018242.1)". Lineage: Eukaryota; Metazoa; Chordata; Aves; Anseriformes; Anatidae. The record is from RNAcentral.